Molecule: non-coding RNA, 131 nt
Organism: Pteropus alecto (black flying fox)
Lineage: Eukaryota; Metazoa; Chordata; Mammalia; Chiroptera; Pteropodidae
Source: Rfam
AUAAGCACAUGUACACCAGGUUUUAGAAAAUCAGAUUAACAGGCUAAACACUCACUGUAUUAAGACCAUGCAUGUGUCCCUAGCCCCUAUUUCUUUCCCUUGGUCUGGUUUUAUAAAUGCUGGUGAUAAAC